RNAcentral lists this ribosomal RNA (460 nucleotides) under uncultured bacterium. Its description in RNAcentral is "partial 16S ribosomal RNA". It matches the Rfam family "Bacterial small subunit ribosomal RNA", at positions 338 to 795 of the family's 1533-position model. The record is from RNAcentral.
CCUACGGGUGGCAGCAGUGAGGAAUAUUGGUCAAUGGGCGUAAGCCUGAACCAGCCAAGUCGCGUGAGGGAUGAAGGUUCUAUGGAUCGUAAACCUCUUUUAUAAGGGAAUAAAGUGUGGGACGUGUCCUGUUUUGUAUGUACCUUAAGAAUAAGCAUCGGCUAACUCCGUGCCAGCAGCCGCGGUAAUACGGAGGAUCCGAGCGUUAUCCGGAUUUAUUGGGUUUAAAGGGUGCGUAGGCGGCCUUUUAAGUCAGCGGUGAAAGUCUGGGGCUUAACCAUAGAAUUGCCGUUGAAACUGGUAGUCUUGAGUAUGUGUGAGGCAGGCGGAAUGCGUGGUGUAGCGGUGAAAUGCUUAGAUAUCACGCAGAACCCCGAUUGCGAAGGCAGCCUACCGGGCCAUGACUGACGCUGAUGCACGAAAGCGUGGGGAUCGAACAGGAUUAGAUACCCCAGUAGUC